This 774-nucleotide unclassified non-coding RNA is filed under the name Hevea brasiliensis (rubber tree). Lineage: Eukaryota; Viridiplantae; Streptophyta; Magnoliopsida; Malpighiales; Euphorbiaceae. The record is from RNAcentral.
AAAAGAUAUGAUUGAAGAACCAAAAUCAUUAAAACUAGAAUACAAAGUAUUUGAUUUGUAAUGAAUCGAUUACAUCUCACGAUCGAAACAAUAUGGAAGACUGAAAAAGCACAUAACGAAUGAAUUACCUUUUAACUAAAAACUGUGUGAAUCAAACAAUACGAAUAACCUACAUUGCCUUAAUCCACCUUCUUCUCUGUUGCCUUCUUAUACUCCUCGAGUUCCUUUAUCCACAAAUCCCCGAAUUCACAAUCCUUCCAAGCCUCAAACCAAGGUCCACCAAGCGUAUAAUGGAUGGACUUAGGAAAUGUAGUUGGAUCCCCUUCAACAACCUUAUUAUGGCCGACGAGGAAGUUCCAAACGAACGGAACUUCCCCAAUCUCCUCAUCUUCCAACCAAGUAAACCUAUGGAGAAAUGCCCCAGUUUCAGUAUUGACAAUCUCAGGUGUCAAGACCUUAUUCUUUGGAUGCGCACAAUUAUAAAGAACCAUGGAUGACCAAUUCUUCCUAGGAUACACAGUUUGUACUGCCCCAUCCAUUUUAGUAGUUUCUUUAGGAGCAUAAUUAUGUUGUACACACAUUAAAGCAUAUUUAUCAUCCACCAUAUCCCUCAAUUCCUUAAUAUCCCCUAAAUACAAGAAAUCACAAUCAACAAACAUAGCCCAUCCUUCAAAAUUAGCCAAAUGGGGUGUCAAAAAACGAGUAAAUGAAAACUCAGUGCUUUCUAAUUUCCCUCUUCCACGCCAGUAUAACCCUUUUUCUCUUAACUCUGAU